GUGUGUUCGACAACGACAACUGUGCCACCUCAACCAAAAGAAAAACACAAAAUUUCUGCAGGAAAAUUAAAUAAAAGAACCUGUAAAUAGUGAAAAAAGCAACAAGAUGACACUAGCAGAGUUCUUUGGAUGUGCAUUCCUCACAUUUGGUCCAGCACUAGCAAUGUUCACAUUCACAAUCGCCCACGACCCAAUGCGGAUCAUAAUCCUGCUGAUGGCCUCCUUCUUCUGGCUCGUAUCGAUGCUGCUGUCGUCCAUCGUGUGGUUCGCCGUCGUCCCGCUGCGUGAUAAACUCUUGUUUGGCAUAAUCUGUUCCGUGUUGAUCCAGGAAGCAUUCCGUUAUGGCAUUUACAUUGCUUUGCGAAAGACUGAACGCGGUCUCCGACAAGUGGCGGACGACAUUCAAAUUGUCGAGAACAAGCACACACUCGCCUAUGUCGCUGGACUCGGAUUUGGGAUCAUUUCUGGGGCAUUUUCUACUGUUAACUUGCUUGCAGACUCUGCGGGACCCGGCACAGUUGGUUUGCAUGGCGGCACAGAAAUUUUCUUUAUCACAUCGGCGGCACAAUCGCUCUGCAUGAUCUUGUUGCACGUCUUUUGGAGCGUCAUUUUCUUCAGUGGCUGCGAUCGACGGAAGUACGAACACAUAAUUUUCGUCGUUGUGGCGCAUUUGUUUGUGUCCUGCAUGACACUGUGGAAUAGUGCGGGCAAGGGAGGCGAAUGGUAUGGCUUGACGUUGCCUUUGAAUUUUGGAAUGUCGCUUGUGUGUGGCGUGAUUGCCUUCAAAAUUGCCGGAGGAUCGUCAAAAACGUUGAAACGAUUUAUCAAGUGUCAACAAUAGAUCUCUUCUUUCGGAAAUGAUGUGAAUUUAUUAUCAAUUAGAAAUUAAUUUAAUCCGUAUUUAAGUGCUUAAUAAAGUGACCAACCUUAAAAAAAUCAAUAAAAGUAAUUUUACAACGCAUGAAAUAUGGGUCAGUAGGACAACGGAA
Culicoides brevitarsis is the source of this 989-nucleotide RNA transcript. It is a transcript of the gene named gamma-secretase subunit Aph-1, with no coding region annotated. The record is from RefSeq and is a predicted model, not a curated record. The transcript has 3 exons. NCBI's taxonomy places the organism in Eukaryota, Metazoa, Arthropoda, Insecta, Diptera, Ceratopogonidae.